Long non-coding RNA from Paramisgurnus dabryanus, 1459 nucleotides. RefSeq lists it as uncharacterized. The record is from RefSeq and is a predicted model, not a curated record. Lineage: Eukaryota; Metazoa; Chordata; Actinopteri; Cypriniformes; Cobitidae.
ACAAACAUGAGACGUCCAAAGGACGUUCAGAUUAUGUCCAUAUCGGGUCGGUCGGUCCAGAACCUAAUCUGCACCUAAUCUGCACGUCUAAACGACGUGCAGAUCCAGUACAGUAUUUGGACGUCUGACUACGACGUCUUUUGGACGUUGAUAUGCAGUUCAAUAUUUGAGGGUCCGUUCUUGGACGUCAUUUAGACGUUCAAAACAGGUUCAGAAAAAAAAUAUAAAAACUUAUGCAAUAAAAACGACAAAUGAGUUCUGAUUCAAAACAAUGUAACAUGACGUUUUUUUUUUUUGUGAAAAUUCUUUAAGGUGAUAAAAUAUGUUAUAUUUUUAUGAAUGAAUUCACAACGCGUGCCAAAAUCUACUGCAUUUCUUUUGUGUAAUUUGCAAAUUAAACCAAAUUCAAGUGUGAUUUACAAAAAUAAUCAACAUUGCAAUUUUAAGUUUAACCACAAGGGUGUGUAAAAGCUUAGGUGGCGAGGUGGCGCGUGAUCUUUUUUUGCACGUGAUCAACAGACGUAAUUAAGCAUCGCCAGCGUAAACGUACUCAACGGACACAACCUGCUGUGAACAGGACCUACAUACACCCCAAAGGCUCUUUUCAGAGCCAUUUGACCAAGCAUCUUUGUACAUGCCGGUUUUCCUUCAGUAGUGCCAGUUUUCCUAAGAUUUUACCUCGUCCUCCACUGCCUCCAGUAAUUCCUGGUUUUAAGGUGGAGUAAUGGAGUAAAGAUGCAACGGAGCAGCUGAUAAGAAAACAUGCUUAAGACCAUCUUAAACGUGCACCAUCAAGAAAGGGAGGGGUACACAUUAAAAAAAAUUUUUAACAUUACUUUUUGAAUAGAUGCACUUUUUAAAAAUUUUUUUAAAGUAUAUAUAUUGUUUAUUUAUGUUGUUUUUAAAUGUUAUAAUUGUAUUGUUUUUAUUUGUUGUAUUUAGCUUUUAUGCAUUUGUACACACACAAACACACAACCACAUUUAUACAAAAUAAGUUUUGAAUAAAUACGUUUAAUGGAGUGCAAAGUGUGAGUCUUUAUUUAGCUAAAUGAUGUCUAAAAUGAGUCUGCAGUUGACGUUAUAAGACGUUGAAAAUAUGUCCACAAUGACCACAUUUCAACUAAAUUUGGACCUUAAAAAGACGUCCUAUGGAUGUCAUUAUUGGACGUCCAAAAGACGUCAGAAAAAGACGUCGGAAAACCUUUCAUUCUGCACCCUGAUGGGGACGUCUUUUCAACGUCUUUAUUGGACGUCCAAAAGACGUCAGAAAAAGACGUCGGAAAACCUUUCAUUCUGCACCCUGAUGGGGACGUCUUUUCAACGUCUUUAUUGGACGUCCAAAAGACGUCAGAAAAAGACGUCGGAAAACCUUUCAUUCUGCACCCUGAUGGGGACGUCUUUUCAACGUCCGACAAAGAUGUUGAAAAGACGUCUUUUGGACAUACUUUUGCUCAGUGGG